CUGCGGCCAUCAUUGGAGCUGUGGUGGCUGUUGUGAGGAGGAGGAGGAGGAGAAUCACAGGUGGAAAGGGAGGGAUCUAUACUCCAGCUACAGGCAGGGACAGUGCCCAGAGCUCUGAUGUGUCUCUCCCAGACUGUAAAGCGUGAAGACAGCUGCCUGGCCUGACAGAGUGACAGAGAUGUGCUCAGGUGUCUCCUGUGACGUUCAGAGCCCCUCAGUUCACUCUCAACAACAAAUCUGAUGUUCCCUGUGACCCUAGGGGCUCCAUGUGAAGACCUGGGAGCCCAGCCACUCCUGCACACCAGGACCCUGUCCCUGCACUGUUAUAUUCCCUUCCACAGCCAAACAUCCUGGUCCAGCAGACAGGAGGGGACAUCUGCAUCCUGUCACCUCCAUGCUGCCCUGAGCUGCAGCCCCUGUCUCCCCACUGAAAAUUAGAACCUGAAUGUCAACUUGACUGUUCAUGUCCUUGAUCUGACAGGUGGAUUGUUGGGUAAAUUACUUGAUUGAAAUACUUAGAGAUUUGGAGGAAAUAAAUGGCACCAUGGAGAACCUUCCA
This is a long non-coding RNA of Onychomys torridus (southern grasshopper mouse), 559 nucleotides long. RefSeq lists it as uncharacterized. The record is from RefSeq and is a predicted model, not a curated record. NCBI's taxonomy places the organism in Eukaryota, Metazoa, Chordata, Mammalia, Rodentia, Cricetidae. The transcript is spliced from 4 exons.